RNAcentral lists this ribosomal RNA (497 nucleotides) under uncultured bacterium. Its description in RNAcentral is "partial 16S ribosomal RNA". It matches the Rfam family "Bacterial small subunit ribosomal RNA", at positions 28 to 507 of the family's 1533-position model. The record is from RNAcentral.
GAUGAACGCUGGCGGCGUGCCUAAUACAUGCAAGUCGAGCGAACAGACGAGGAGCUUGCUCCUCUGACGUUAGCGGCGGACGGGUGAGUAACACGUGGAUAACCUACCUAUAAGACUGGGAUAACUUCGGGAAACCGGAGCUAAUACCGGAUAAUAUAUUGAACCGCAUGGUUCAAUAGUGAAAGACGGUUUUGCUGUCACUUAUAGAUGGAUCCGCGCCGCAUUAGCUAGUUGGUAUGGUAACGGCUUACCAAGGCAACGAUGCGUAGCCGACCUGAGAGGGGGAUCGGCCACACUGGAACUGAGACACGGUCCAGACUGCUACGGGAGGCAGCAGUAGGGAAUCUUCCGCAAAGGGCGAGAGCCUGACGGAGCAACGGCGCGGGAGGGAUGAAGGUCUUCGGAUCGUAAAACUCUGUUAUUAGGGAAGAACAGAUGUGUAAGUGAGUAUGCGCGUGUUGAGGGUGCGGAAGCGGAAGGCCGGGGCUGGGUAGGUG